This 253-nucleotide ribosomal RNA is filed under the name uncultured bacterium. Its description in RNAcentral is "partial 16S ribosomal RNA". It matches the Rfam family "Bacterial small subunit ribosomal RNA", at positions 524 to 776 of the family's 1533-position model. The record is from RNAcentral.
UACGAAGGGGGCGAGCGUUGUUCGGAUUUACUGGGCGUAAAGGGCGCGCAGGCGGUUCUGUUUGUCGAGUGUGAAAGCCCCGGGCUCAACCUGGGAACUGCGCUCGAAACGGCGGAACUAGAGUUCGGGAGAGGAGAGUGGAAUUCCCAGUGUAGAGGUGAAAUUCGUAGAUAUUGGGAAGAACACCGGUGGCGUAGGCGGCUCUCUGGACCGAUACUGACGCUGAGGCGCGAAAGCGUGGGGAGCAAACAGG